This 406-nucleotide ribosomal RNA is filed under the name uncultured bacterium. RNAcentral's name for it is "partial 16S ribosomal RNA". It matches the Rfam family "Bacterial small subunit ribosomal RNA", at positions 30 to 526 of the family's 1533-position model. The record is from RNAcentral.
AUUGAACGCUAGCGGGAUGCCUUACACAUGCAAGUCGAACGAGUGGCGGACGGGUGAGUAAUGUCUGGGAAACUGCCCGAUGGAGGGGGAUAACUACUGGAAACGGUAGCUAAUACCGCAUACCAUCGGAUGUGCCAAGAGGGGAUAAGCUAGUAGGUGGGGGAACGGCUCACCUAGGCGACGAUCCGUAGCUGGUCUGAGAGGAUGACCAGCCACACUGGAACUGUGACACGGUCCAGACUCCUACGGGAGGCAGCAGUGGGGAAUAUUGCACAAUGGGCGCAAGCCUGAGGCAGCCAUGCAGCGUGUAUGAAGAAGGCCUUCGGGUUGUAAAGUAUUUUCAGCGAGGAGGCGUUACUCGCAGAAGAAGCACCGGCUAACUCCGUGCCAGCAGCCGCGGUAAUAC